RNAcentral lists this ribosomal RNA (256 nucleotides) under uncultured bacterium. RNAcentral describes it as "partial 16S ribosomal RNA". It matches the Rfam family "Bacterial small subunit ribosomal RNA", at positions 524 to 776 of the family's 1533-position model. The record is from RNAcentral.
UACGAAGGGGGGCUAGCGUUGCUCGGAAUCACUGGGCGUAAAGGGUGCGUAGGCGGGUCUUUUAAGUCAGGGGGUGAAAUCCUGGAGCUCAACUCCAGAACUGCCUUUGAUACUGAAGAUCUUGAGUUCGGGAGAGGUGAGUGGAACUGCGAGUGUAGAGGUGAAAUUCGUAGAUAUUGGGAAGAACACCGGUGGCGAAGGCGGCGACCUGGUCCGAUACUGACGCUGAGGCGCGAAAGCGUGGGGAGCAAACAGG